Pan troglodytes (chimpanzee) is the source of this 1500-nucleotide long non-coding RNA. RefSeq lists it as uncharacterized. The transcript is spliced from 4 exons. Lineage: Eukaryota; Metazoa; Chordata; Mammalia; Primates; Hominidae. The record is from RefSeq and is a predicted model, not a curated record.
GUUCCGGAGACUCUCAGCGCGGCCGCGGAGCCGCAGUCGCGGGGAGUGGGGUGCGGAUCUUGUGUUUGCGCACGCAGUCGCCGGCCACCUCAGGCCGGAGCUAGAGAUACGGCUCGGGAUAGGAGGGCCCGGCGGCUCUGAGGAAGGUUCGCCUCGAGCCGCACGGCCCGGAGCAGCGGCUCCGCGGUGGUCCCCGGGGCUUGAGAGGGGUGCGGGCCUGGGAGCCCCUGAGGGCCUGAUUUACGGAACUCCCCCUCCUUCCUCCUUUCUGCCGUUCCCUGCUUUGUGGCGGAUGCGCAGGGAUCAGUAGGGACGGCAGCAGUAGGGCCACCCGGGCCUGCCCCGCUUCCCGCAUUGCCCGGCCUGGCGCGCCGCCUCCGGGCCUUGGCAAAGCCCCAGCGCCCGAUUGCCACUGACCAGUGCUUGGAAGUCCUUUACCGACUGCCCGUCAGCGUCCCGCAGAGAGGAUUUUGCGUCUCCAAAGACGCCCCUCUUCCGAAAACAGGCUCCUUUUGUGUUCUCAGUCGGGUAUAUUUUUCUGUCUCCAAACUAGAUUGGCAGCCGUUUUUUGAGAGCAGGGAUGGCCAUCUGGGACCUCCACCCGUGAAAAGGCGGCUCAUUGGUCUGACUCCAACACUAAAUUACGCCAUCCAGGAAGCCUUUCCUAGUCACCUCUGCUGGAGAUCGUCCUCUGUGUGUCGGUUGUUAGUAAAGAGCACACAUUCUGUGGAAAGAUAUUGAGAAUCUCACGCACUCUGUUGCCCAGGCUGCAGUGCAGCGGUGCAAUCUCGGCUGACUGCAACCUCCGCCUCCUGAGUUUAAGCAAUUCUCCUGCCUCAGCCUCCCGAGUAGCUGGGAUUACAGGUGCCCACCACCAUGCCUGGCUAAUUUUUGUAUUUUUAGUAGGGAUGGGGUUUCACCAUGUUAGCCAGACUGGUCUGAAACUCCUGACCUAAAAUGAUCCACCCACCUUGGCCUCCCAGAGUGCUGGGAUUACAGGUAUGAGCCACUGCGCCAUGCCUUGUUCCACUUUAUCUUUCAAGAGUAAGUUUCAUCGUGGAUUAUGGUUAAAGACAAGUCCUGAUUUGGUUUUCCUACCUGAUCACGAGGCCACUCGAUAGAACUAGUAAGCUAUGCCUUGGGCCUGCAGGAUGGCACCUGACUUGAAGAUGGCACCUGACUUGAAGAUGGCACCUGACUAGCAUUUGGACUGGUUUGCAGGCUGAGCACAGGGUUGCUCCAGGUGGGCCCAAAUGCUGAAGAGCCUCAUGUUAGAGUUUUUCACCUCUGCGAUGGAACUGUGGUGGACUCCAGUAUCAUCAUUCCAGGGAGGCAUAGCCGCACCAACUGUGUUCCCAGGUUUCACAUGGAGAAGGGUUUUAGAAAGUGCAGAUAGCCUUGAAACCACUGGUUUCCUACCACUGUUUAUUUCAGCAUAACUUUUUUUGUGUGGAAUGCUAGCUCUGGAAGAGCAGAAAUAAAUACAGCUUAAGCUUUGAA